This 468-nucleotide ribosomal RNA is filed under the name uncultured bacterium. RNAcentral's name for it is "partial 16S ribosomal RNA". It matches the Rfam family "Bacterial small subunit ribosomal RNA", at positions 28 to 507 of the family's 1533-position model. The record is from RNAcentral.
GACGAACGCUGGCGGCGUGCUUAACACAUGCAAGUCGAACGGAAAGGCCCUGCUUUUGUGGGGUGCACGAGUGGCGAACGGGUGAGUAACACGUGAGUAACCUGCCCUUGACUUUGGGAUAACAUCAGGAAACUGGGGCUCAUACCGGAUAUGAUCUCCUGCUGCAUGUUGGGGGUUGGAAAGUUUCGGCGGUGGGGGCUGGAUUCGCGGGUUAUCAGCUUGUUGGUGGGGUAGUGGCGUCCCAAGGCUUUGACGGGUAGGCGGCCUGAGAGGGGGACCGGGCACAUUGGGACUGCGGUACGCAGCAGAAGGCUAUCGGCCGCAAUAGUCGGGAACAUGGCAGAACGGGGCGAAGCCUGAGAUGAAGAUCUCCGGAUCGGGAAGCUGGGCUUUUGGGUAUAAACAGAUUUGGAAUUUACCGUAGCCGGAGUGACGGUAACGGGUCAAGAAGCACCGGCUAACUACGUG